RNAcentral lists this unclassified non-coding RNA (391 nucleotides) under Spermacoce prostrata. RNAcentral's name for it is "partial external transcribed spacer". The record is from RNAcentral. Lineage: Eukaryota; Viridiplantae; Streptophyta; Magnoliopsida; Gentianales; Rubiaceae.
GGUUGGAUCCCUGCCUCGUGCAGCGACGUCCAACCUUGCUCUCCUCUUCAAUGUUGGCACAAUUUACAUUGGCCGUCCAUCGGUUUCCUGUGUUUCGUACCUACAUGAUGGAAUUCGGUUGUCAAUCUUUAGCUGUUCGCUUUAGGCUGCUCGUUAACUCGGUGCGGUCACGAGUGAAACUCGAAACGAGAUUCGUGUCCCAUAUACUGUCAUUUCAUGUCGGUGUAUUGGUCCUUGAAUGCUCGCUCGGGCGCUGGGAUGCAGAAAACGAUGAGGGCACGGAGUCAUCGGCUCCUAUUUGUCCGCAAAAGGGCUUUAUUGCCUGUUUCGAACGACUUCGGUCCCGUUCCAGCCUUGUGCUGUGCGGGCUGAUGUCCGUGAGGAAUGCUAC